ACUCCUACGGGAGGCAGCAGUAGGGAAUCUUCCACAAUGGACGAAAGUCUGAUGGAGCAACGCCGCGUGAACGAUGAAGGCCUCGGUCGUAAGUUCUGUUGUAAGGGAAGAACAAGUGCCGCAGGCAAUGGCGGCACCUUGACGGUACCUUGCGAGAAAGCCACGGCUAACUACGUGCCAGCAGCCGCGGUAAUACGUAGGUGGCAAGCGUUGUCCGGAAUUAUUGGGCGUAAAGCGCGCGCAGGCGGCCUCUUAAGUCUGAUGUGAAAGCCCCGGCUCAACCGGGGGAGGGCCAUUGGAAACUGGGAGGCUUGAGUAUAGGAGAGAAGAGUGGAAUUCCACGUGUAGCGGUGAAAUGCGUAGAGAUGUGGAGGAACACCAGUGGCGAAGGCGACUCUUUGGCCUAUAACUGACGCUGAGGCGCGAAAGCGUGGGGAGCAAACAGGA
RNAcentral lists this ribosomal RNA (447 nucleotides) under uncultured bacterium. RNAcentral's name for it is "bacterial SSU rRNA". It matches the Rfam family "Bacterial small subunit ribosomal RNA", at positions 335 to 777 of the family's 1533-position model. The record is from RNAcentral.